This is an RNA transcript of Pongo pygmaeus (Bornean orangutan), 4775 nucleotides long. It is a transcript of the gene named cytidine/uridine monophosphate kinase 2, with no coding region annotated. NCBI's taxonomy places the organism in Eukaryota, Metazoa, Chordata, Mammalia, Primates, Hominidae. The transcript is spliced from 7 exons. The record is from RefSeq and is a predicted model, not a curated record.
AUGGCCUUCGCCCGCCCGCUCCUGCGCGGGCCACUGUCGGGGCCGCUGCUCGGGCGGCGCGGGGUCUGCGCUGGGACCAUGGCUCCGCCGCGCCGCUUCGUCCUGGAGCUUCCCGACUGCACCCUGGCUCACUUCGCCCUAGGCGCCGACGCCCCCGGCGACGCAGACGCCCCCGACCCCCGCCUGGCGGCGCUGCUGGGGCCCCCGGAGCGCAGCUACUCGCUGUGCGUGCCCGUGACCCCGGACGACGGCUGCGGGGCCCGGGUCCGGGCGGCGCGGCUGCAUCAGCGCCUGCUGCACCAGCUGCGCCGCGGCCCCUUCCAGCGGUGCCAGCUGCUCAGGCUGCUCUGCUACUGCCCGGGCGGCCAGGCCGGCGGCGCACAGCAAGGCUUCCUGCUGCGCGACCCCCUGGAUGACCCUGACACCCGGCAAGCGCUGCUCGAGCUGCUGGGCGCCUGCCAGCAGGCACCACGCCCGCACCUGGGCGAGUUCGAGGCCGACCGGCGCGGCCAGCUGUGGCAGCGCCUCUGGGAGGUGCAAGACGGCAGGUGGCUGCAGGUGGGCUGCGCACAGGUCGUGCCCGCCCCGGAGCCCCCGCUGCACCCGGUGGUGCCAGACUUGCCCAGUUCCGUGGUCUUCCCGGACCGGGAAGCCGCCCGGGCCGUUUUGGAGGAGUGUACCUCCUUUAUUCCUGAAGCCCGGGCGGUGCUUGACCUGGUCGACCAGUGCCCAAAACAGGUCCAGAAAGGAAAGUUCCAAGUUGUUGCCAUCGAAGGACUGGAUGCCACGGGUAAAACCACAGUGACCCAGUCAGUGGCAGAUGCACUUAAGGCUGUCCUCUUAAAGUCACCACCCUCUUGCAUUGGCCAGUGGAGGAAGAUCUUUGAUGAUGAACCAACUAUCAUUAGAAGAGCUUUUUACUCUUUGGGCAAUUAUAUUGUGGCCUCUGAAAUAGCUAAAGAAUCUGCCAAAUCUCCUGUGAUUGUAGACAGGUACUGGCACAGCACAGCCACCUAUGCCAUAGCCACUGAGGUGAGUGGGGGUCUCCAGCACCUGCCCCCAGCCCAUCACCCUAUAUACCAGUGGCCAGAGGACCUGCUCAAACCUGACCUCAUCCUGCUGCUCACCGUGAGUCCUGAGGAGAGGUUGCAGAGGCUGCAGGGCCGGGGCAUGGAGAAGACCAGGGAAGAAGCAGAACUUGAGGCCAACAGUGUGUUUCGCCAAAAGGUAGAAAUGUCCUACCAGAGGAUGGAGAAUCCUGGCUGCCAUGUGGUUGAUGCCAGCCCCUCCAGAGAAAAGGUCCUGCAGACGGUAUUAAGCCUAAUCCAAAAUAGUUUUAAUGAACCGUAGUUAUUCUGGCCAGGUGCCAUGUCUAACUAGAUUAGAUGUUGUUUGAAACAUCUACAUCCACCAUUUGUUAUGCAGUGUUCCCAAAUUUCUGUUGUACAAGCAUGUUGUGUGGCAGAAAACUGGAGAUCAGGCAUCUUAAUUUUACUUCAGCCAUCGUACCCUCUUCUGACUGAUGGACCCGUCAUCACAAAGGACCCUCUCAUCAUGUUCCAGUGAGAGGCCAGUGAUUGCUUUCUUCCUGGCAUAGUAAAUAUUUUCUUGGAACAUGUGUUUCACUUAAUCACUACCAAAUAUCUGGAAGACCUGUCUUCCUCAGACAGCACCAGGUGUACAGAAGCAGCAGAGAAGAUCUUCCAGAUCAGCAGGGAGCCCCCAGCGCCUCUCCAUCUCCUACACUGGCAUGCUGAUGAGAUCGUGACGUGCCCACAUUGGCGUCUUCCACAUCUGGUUGCACUCGUCAUGAUGGGCUCGCUGCAUCUCCCUCAGUCCCAAAUUCUAGAGCCAAGUGUUCCUGCAGAGGCUGUCUAUGUGUCCUGGCUGUCCAAGGACACUCCCGCAGAGCCAUUUUUGGAUGAAAUUGGAGAACCUGAACAUGAUUGUCAAAAAAUAGUGAUGCAAACCUAUGCAGCCAGAGAGGACGUCCAGGAAACUCCUCUAGAAAACUGAGACUGGGCUCUCUUUACAGGUCCCAGCUGGGAGGAACCUUAUACCGUCCUUCUCUCCACCUGCUCAGCGGUGAAGUUUGUGGGACUGGAAUCUUGGAUUCAUCACACUCGAGUCAAGGCCUGGAAUGACCCCUUACAUCCCAGAAGAACAUCCCAGAUAUCAGUGUGAAAAAUUCGGGGAUUUCAAACUGAAAAUACGAAAGAUAAGUAAAUGAGGGAGAACUCUCUGUUCAGUUCAAUCCCACACUUACCUUACCAGAUACUAAAGUCAUUUCUACCUUUCCUCUUGAGAUCUGCUGUUAGAUAUUAGAACUUCUCUUUGUCACAUACUUACAGGGAGAUUUUGAUUAUCCAUGGGAUUCCAUUCAUAACCUCAUAAACCACCCCCAUGAAGAAAUUAUAUAUCUCGGUAAGAUUUAAAGUGGAACUUUAUUACUUCACACAUAUGGGAAUUGUUGUACUCACCUUACUCUUUGCAGUAGGACUAUAUACUGUGGCACCUUCUAAGUGGAAUAUUGGGAAAAGAGUCUCAAUUGCCAUAAUCUUUUGCUUAGUUAUUAUUCAUAUAGCAGGGAUAGUAGUCACAGAUAAGAGAUAAACAUGAAGAUUUUGUUACUAUCAAGUUUACUAGCAUUCACUGUUAGAUGUAGCAAUGCCUCACAUUCUUUAGCCCCUGCAAUAUCAGAUAUUACCGAUCUGUACAACAAGACUGAUUACUGGGUUUGCCCUGAACAAUUUACUCAGUUUAAUAAUACCAAUGGACUCUUUGAUGACUCAGAACUCACUAUCUUAGGGUUUCCCUCUGAUGGCUUUACCUUAAAUCAUUAAGGGCCUAAUAGGUAUAAAGGGAACAUGGUAUGGGAGCAUUUUUAACUCCACCCAGAAAGACACACCCCCUGAGGCUAAAACUCACACCCUUAGACUAGGUGAAGUUGAUAGAAUGAUAGCCAAUGCCCGUCUCUGCUUUAAGAGUAAAGGAAAAGGACCAUACUUGGGAAACCUUAAAUAUUGCAACAGUAUGCUUGUAACUGCUGAGAGCACAGAGAUCUGGAGACUAAGAAGGAACAAGGGUGACACCAAACAUUGGGAGAGACUGUGGAAAAAUUUUAACAAUCUAGCCAACCCUCCCAGGUGGAGUUCCUAAUGGGAAUGUCUACCCCAGGCAGAAAUGCCACCCCUCGCCAACCUUAUUAUCAGGUGAUAAAUAACACAUGGUCCUUCCCAAACAUGCCCAUACAUGGAAUCCUGGGCCCUUAUAUGAUAUUUGAUAAUGACAGUGAUCUGCAAAUCUGUGGAUGAACAGGGGAUGUCUGGACCAAUAGCCCCUGUGAGGAGGGUUGUCUAAGAUACUGGCUGGAACAUAUUGUGUCUCUGAUCUUUUGAAACUAUAUUUGCCAAAAAGAUUCUUCCCUCCCAGCAUGUAAAGUUCCAAACAAUACUGUGGAUGACUAUACUAAGUAUGGAUAUCCUUAUUCUAAAGAUGCUUGAAUUAGAUGUAGGGAAGGCAACCUUAUAAGGCCUGGACUAAACUUAGCUGGAACCCUCAUAAAUCACAACAUAGAACCAUCCCUUCAGGGAACAGGGCUUUACUUUCUCUGUGGCUCCAGGCUAUGCUUAAUCCUCCCCAGGCACUGGAGAGAAACAUGCACUAUAGUGGCAAUGGUCCCCAAUUUGUUAUUUUUAAACCCCACUGAUAGGGUAGCAUCCUUGGGUGACAUCCCCAAUUUGGGCUCUUUUACAGAAAGUGCAUUCCCUCACACAUACCAAAACAGGAGAUCACUUAUCUCUAUGCCAUCGUAUGGAGAUUAAACUGAGAGAGAGAGAACUGGCAAGAAUAUGCACAUGGCAAUCCUAUAUUAGAAAAACCAGGAAUAAAAUAUGCAAUAGCCAGAGGCCUAUUUUGGCUUGGCGGUGUUCCCCUUCUUGAAAUAUCAGUGCUUAAUAUUUCUAUCAUGACGUAACAAGGGUGAAAGGUAACUGUAGGAGCCAUAAAAGCCCAACAGCAGUCCAUAAAUUCUCUGGCCUCAGUGGUCAGGCAAAAUAGACAAACUCUUGAUGUCCUUACAGCUGAAGUAGGGGGCGCUUGUGCAUUUGUAAAUGAAACACGCUGUUUCUGUAUCAACACUUCCAGUCAGGUAGAGGAGAAUUUACCAGUGCUUAAAGAUUCAAUUAGAAUCAUUGACAAAUUAGGUGAAAAUGCAAACUCAGUUUGCUACAAUCCCUUUUUAAUGGAUUCUAGUCUUUGUUUUGGACCCAGUUAGCUCCUCUACUAGGACCUCUUUUUCCUGUAUGCCUUAUGAUAAUGUUUGGACCUUGCAUACUCAAUGCUAUAACCAGAGAGAUGGAGAAAAAGAUGAAUGGUACUCCCAUGUGGAGUGCGACCACAGCCCUGGGCCCUGCCUCCUUGUACAUGUGAUGAGCACAUUUCUACCUGGUUUAAGCCAUUCUUGAUUUGGGUUUCUGAUCCACACAGAGUUGAAUGUAUAUUCUUUUACUUUUUGCACCAAAAACCUAGGACACCUUCACUAACAUAUGGGACUAAAAUGUUGUUGUUUGAGACAGAGUCUCAUUGUCACCCAGGCUGGAGUGGAGUAGCCUGAUCUCAGCUCACUGCAACCUCUACCUCCCAGGCUCAAGCAAGUCUUGUGCCUCAGCCUCCCAAUUAGCUGGGAUUACAGGCAUGCGCCACCAUGCCCAGAUAAUUUUUAUGUUUUCUGUAGAGAUGGAGUUUCACCAUAUUGCCCAGGCUGGUCUUGAACU